This 27-nucleotide non-coding RNA is filed under the name Homo sapiens (human). The record is from RNAcentral. Lineage: Eukaryota; Metazoa; Chordata; Mammalia; Primates; Hominidae.
UGUCAGGUCACUUGAGUCGUUGAUGGA